RNAcentral lists this ribosomal RNA (2903 nucleotides) under Klebsiella pneumoniae. Its description in RNAcentral is "23S ribosomal RNA". It matches the Rfam family "Bacterial large subunit ribosomal RNA". Lineage: Bacteria; Pseudomonadati; Pseudomonadota; Gammaproteobacteria; Enterobacterales; Enterobacteriaceae. The record is from RNAcentral.
GGUUAAGCGACUAAGCGUACACGGUGGAUGCCCCCGGCAGUCAGAGGCGAUGAAGGACGUGCUAAUCUGCGAAAAGCGUCGGUAAGGUGAUAUGAACCGUUACAGCCGGCGAUGUCCGAAUGGGGAAACCCAGUGCAAUUCGUUGCACUAUCGUUAACUGAAUACAUAGGUUAACGAGGCGAACCGGGGAACUGAAACAUCUAAGUACCCCGAGGAAAAGAAAUCAACCGAGAUUCCCCCAGUAGCGGCGAGCGAACGGGGAGCAGCCCAGAGUCUGAAUCAGCUUGUGUGUUAGUGGAACGGUCUGGAAAGUCCGACGGUACAGGGUGAUAGUCCCGUACACCAAAAUGCACAGGUUGUGAACUCGAAGAGUAGGGCGGGACACGUGGUAUCCUGUCUGAAUAUGGGGGACCAUCCUCCAAGGCUAAAUACUCCUGACUGACCGAUAGUGAACCAGUACCGUGAGGGAAAGGCGAAAAGAACCCCGGCGAGGGGAGUGAAAAAGAACCUGAAACCGUGUACGUACAAGCAGUGGGAGCACCUUCGGGUGUGACUGCGUACCUUUGUAUAAUGGGUCAGCGACUUAUAUUCUGUAGCAAGGUUAACCGUAUAGGGGAGCCGCAGGGAAACCGAGUCUUAACUGGGCGUUAAGUUGCAGGGUAUAGACCCGAAACCCGGUGAUCUAGCCAUGGGCAGGUUGAAGGUUGGGUAACACUAACUGGAGGACCGAACCGACUAAUGUUGAAAAAUUAGCGGAUGACUUGUGGCUGGGGGUGAAAGGCCAAUCAAACCGGGAGAUAGCUGGUUCUCCCCGAAAGCUAUUUAGGUAGCGCCUCGUGAACUCAUCUUCGGGGGUAGAGCACUGUUUCGGCUAGGGGGUCAUCCCGACUUACCAACCCGAUGCAAACUACGAAUACCGAAGAAUGUUAUCACGGGAGACACACGGCGGGUGCUAACGUCCGUCGUGAAGAGGGAAACAACCCAGACCGCCAGCUAAGGUCCCAAAGUCAUGGUUAAGUGGGAAACGAUGUGGGAAGGCACAGACAGCCGGAUGUUGGCUUAGAAGCAGCCAUCAUUUAAAGAAAGCGUAAUAGCUCACUGGUCGAGUCGGCCUGCGCGGAAGAUGUAACGGGGCUAAACCAUGCACCGAAGCUGCGGCAGCGACACUAUGUGUUGUUGGGUAGGGGAGCGUUCUGUAAGCCUGCGAAGGUGUGCUGUGAGGCAUGCUGGAGGUAUCAGAAGUGCGAAUGCUGACAUAAGUAACGAUAAAGCGGGUGAAAAGCCCGCUCGCCGGAAGACCAAGGGUUCCUGUCCAACGUUAAUCGGGGCAGGGUGAGUCGACCCCUAAGGCGAGGCCGAAAGGCGUAGUCGAUGGGAAACAGGUUAAUAUUCCUGUACUUGGUGUUACUGCGAAGGGGGGACGGAGAAGGCUAUGUUAGCCGGGCGACGGUUGUCCCGGUUUAAGCAUGUAGGCUGGUUAUCCAGUGCAAAUCCGGAUAAUCAAGGCUGAGGUGUGAUGACGAGGCACUACGGUGCUGAAGUAACAAAUGCCCUGCUUCCGAGGAAAAGCCUCUAAGCAUCAGGUAACAUCAAAUCGUACCCCAAACCGACACAGGUGGUCAGGUAGAGAAUACCAAGGCGCUUGAGAGAACUCGGGUGAAGGAACUAGGCAAAAUGGUGCCGUAACUUCGGGAGAAGGCACGCUGGUGUGUAGGUGAAGUCCCUGCGGAUGGAGCUGAGACCAGUCGAAGAUACCAGCUGGCUGCAACUGUUUAUUAAAAACACAGCACUGUGCAAACACGAAAGUGGACGUAUACGGUGUGACGCCUGCCCGGUGCCGGAAGGUUAAUUGAUGGGGUUAUCCGUAAGGAGAAGCUCUUGAUCGAAGCCCCGGUAAACGGCGGCCGUAACUAUAACGGUCCUAAGGUAGCGAAAUUCCUUGUCGGGUAAGUUCCGACCUGCACGAAUGGCGUAAUGAUGGCCGGGGCUGUCUCCACCCGAGACUCAGUGAAAUUGAACUCGCUGUGAAGAUGCAGUGUACCCGCGGCAAGACGGAAAGACCCCGUGAACCUUUACUAUAGCUUGACACUGAACAUUGAGCCUUGAUGUGUAGGAUAGGUGGGAGGCUUUGAAGCGUGGACGCCAGUCUGCGUGGAGCCAACCUUGAAAUACCACCCUUUAAUGUUUGAUGUUCUAACGUUGGCCCCUGACCGGGGUUGCGGACAGUGUCUGGUGGGUAGUUUGACUGGGGCGGUCUCCUCCCAAAGCGUAACGGAGGAGCACGAAGGUUAGCUAAUCCCCGGUCGGACAUCAGGAGGUUAGUGCAAUGGCAUAAGCUAGCUUGACUGCGAGCGUGACGGCGCGAGCAGGUGCGAAAGCAGGUCAUAGUGAUCCGGUGGUUCUGAAUGGAAGGGCCAUCGCUCAACGGAUAAAAGGUACUCCGGGGAUAACAGGCUGAUACCGCCCAAGAGUUCAUAUCGACGGCGGUGUUUGGCACCUCGAUGUCGGCUCAUCACAUCCCCGGGGCUGAAGUAGGUCCCAAGGGUAUGGCUGUUCGCCAUUUAAAGUGGUACGCGAGCUGGGUUUAGAACGUCGUGAGACAGUUCGGUCCCUAUCUGCCGUGGGCGCUGGAGAAUUGAGGGGGCUGCUCCUAGUACGAGAGGACCGGAGUGGACGCAUCACUGGUGUUCGGGUUGUCAUGCCAAUGGCACUGCCCGGUAGCUAAAUGCGGAAGAGAUAAGUGCUGAAAGCAUCUAAGCACGAAACUUGCCCCGAGAUGAGUUCUCCCUGAGACUAUAAGUCUCCUGAAGGAACGUUAAAGACGAUGACGUUGAUAGGCCGGGUGUGUAAGCGCAGCGAUGCGUUGAGCUAACCGGUACUAAUGAACCGUGAGGCUUAACCUU